RNAcentral lists this ribosomal RNA (468 nucleotides) under uncultured bacterium. RNAcentral describes it as "partial 16S ribosomal RNA". It matches the Rfam family "Bacterial small subunit ribosomal RNA", at positions 28 to 507 of the family's 1533-position model. The record is from RNAcentral.
GACGAACGCUGGCGGCGUGCUUAACACAUGCAAGUCGAACGGAAAGGCCCUGCUUUUGUGGGGUGCUCGAGUGGCGAACGGGUGAGUAACACGUGAGUAACCUGCCCUUGACUUUGGGAUAACUUCAGGAAACUGGGGCUAAUACCGGAUAGGAGCUCCUGCUGCAUGGUGGGGGUUGGAAAGUUUCGGCGGUUGGGGAUGGACUCGCGGCUUAUCAGCUUGUUGGUGGGGUAGUGGCUUACCAAGGCUUUGACGGGUAGCCGGCCUGAGAGGGUGACCGGCCAAAUUGGGACUGAGAUACGGCCCAGACUCCAACGGGAGGCAGCGGUGGGGAAUAUUGCACAAUGGGCGGAAGCCUGAUGCAGCAACGCCGCGUGCGGGAUGACGGCCUUCGGGUUGUAAACCGCUUUCGCCUGUGACGAAGCGUGAGUGACGGUAAUGGGUAAAGAAGCACCGGCUAACUACGUG